AAGUCGUAACAAGGUUUCCGUAGGUGAACCUGCGGAAGGAUCAUUAAUGAAAACUUCAGGAGUUGCUGCUGGCCUCUUUCAUCGGAGGCACUCCGUGCACGCUCCGCUAUUUUCCCCACUCACACCUUUUGUGCACCUUUUUUCUCUCCCGUGUGGGAAGAGUCGAGGAACGGACGUGGAGAGGAGCGGGGUUCGUCCUCGCACUCCACGGGGUUCUCCUCCUCCCCGGGCGAUUCACAAGCUCUACGAAAUAUCAAGAACGAAGUGUUUAUUUCUGUAAACAAACUUAACAACUUUCAACAACGGAUCUCUUGGCUCUC
This 320-nucleotide unclassified non-coding RNA is filed under the name air metagenome. RNAcentral's name for it is "partial contains small subunit ribosomal RNA, internal transcribed spacer 1, and 5.8S ribosomal RNA". The stretch from base 1 to 46 matches the Rfam family "Eukaryotic small subunit ribosomal RNA", at positions 1786 to 1831 of the family's 1831-position model. The record is from RNAcentral.